GACUCUCUUAAGGUAGCCAAAUGCCUCGUCAUCUAGUUGGAUGAUGAUGAA
RNAcentral lists this ribosomal RNA (51 nucleotides) under Chaetoceros neogracilis. Its description in RNAcentral is "partial Eukaryotic large subunit ribosomal RNA". The record is from RNAcentral. Lineage: Eukaryota; Bacillariophyta; Thalassiosirophyceae; Chaetocerotales; Chaetocerotaceae.